CCCGGGGGCCUCCGCCAGAGGGAGCUCUGAGAAGGGUCCAUUGCUGGGCUACUGACCAUCGCAAAGGGAAUUCUGAGAUGGUUAUAAGAAACAAGUGCCUAGGGAGGGAAGGAAGACUCCAAUCCCAGGUUUUCUCCAUGCUAUGAGU
Non-coding RNA from Ceratotherium simum simum (southern white rhinoceros), 148 nucleotides. Lineage: Eukaryota; Metazoa; Chordata; Mammalia; Perissodactyla; Rhinocerotidae. The record is from RefSeq and is a predicted model, not a curated record.